GGGAGCGAGAUAGGGACUUGCUGUCAUUUGAAAAACUUUUACAACCAGUCAGUCUUUUUCUCUCUCCUAU
Molecule: microRNA precursor, 70 nt
Filed under: Bactrocera dorsalis (oriental fruit fly)
Lineage: Eukaryota; Metazoa; Arthropoda; Insecta; Diptera; Tephritidae
Description: microRNA bdo-mir-14 precursor
Gene: bdo-mir-14
Source: miRBase by way of RNAcentral